CAAUAGCGUAUAUUAAAGUUGUUGCGGUUAAAAGCUCGUAGUUGGAUUUCUGUUGAGAACAGCCGGUCCGCAUUUUGUGCGUGUAUCUGGAUUGGACUCGGCAUCCUUUCAAAGAACGCAACUGUGAUUCAGUUCAUGGUGCGGUGCUUUGGAACAUUUACUUUGAGGAAAUUAGAGUGUUCACGGCAGGCAAUCGCCCUGAAUAUAUUAGCAUGGAAUAAUACUAUAGGAUCUUGGGUCUAUUUUGUUGGUUUCUAGAACUAAGAUAAUGAUUAAUAGGGACAAUUGGGGGCAUUCGUAUUAACACGUCAGAGGUGGAAUUCUUAGAUUGUGUUACGACGAACUACUGCGAAAGCAUUUGCCAAGGAUGUUUUCAUUGAUCAAGAACGAAAGUGAGGGGAUCGAAGACGAUCAGAUACCGU
RNAcentral lists this ribosomal RNA (422 nucleotides) under uncultured eukaryote. RNAcentral's name for it is "SSU rRNA". It matches the Rfam family "Eukaryotic small subunit ribosomal RNA", at positions 592 to 1018 of the family's 1831-position model. The record is from RNAcentral.